This 119-nucleotide ribosomal RNA is filed under the name Pteropus alecto (black flying fox). The record is from RNAcentral. Lineage: Eukaryota; Metazoa; Chordata; Mammalia; Chiroptera; Pteropodidae.
GUCUACGGCCAUGCCACCCUGAAAGUGCCCGAUCUCAUUUGAUCUCAGAAGCUGAGCAAGGUCAAGACUGGUUAGUACUUGGAUGGGAGACCACCUAGGAAUACCAGGAACUGUAGGCG